RNAcentral lists this ribosomal RNA (465 nucleotides) under uncultured bacterium. Its description in RNAcentral is "partial 16S ribosomal RNA". It matches the Rfam family "Bacterial small subunit ribosomal RNA", at positions 28 to 507 of the family's 1533-position model. The record is from RNAcentral.
GACGAACGCUGGCGGCGUGCUUAACACAUGCAAGUCGAACGGAAAGGCCCUGCUUGCAGGGUACUCGAGUGGCGAACGGGUGAGUAACACGUGGGUGAUCUGCCCUGCACUUCGGGAUAAGCCUGGGAAACUGGGUCUAAUACCGGAUAGGAGCCAUUUUUAGUGUGAUGGUUGGAAAGUUUUUUCGGUGUAGGAUGAGCUCGCGGCCUAUCAGCUUGUUGGUGGGGUAAUGGCCUACCAAGGCGGCGACGGGUAGCCGGCCUGAGAGGGGGGACGGCCACAUUGGGACUGAGAUACGGCCCAGACUCCUACGGGAGGCAGCAGUGGGGAAUAUUGCACAAUGGGCGCAAGCCUGAUGCAGCGACGCCGCGUGGGGGAUGACGGCCUUCGGGUUGUAAACUCCUUUCGCUAGGGACGAAGCUUUGUGUGACGGUACCUAGAUAAGAAGCACCGGCUAACUACGUG